RNAcentral lists this long non-coding RNA (181 nucleotides) under Fukomys damarensis (Damara mole-rat). RNAcentral's name for it is "lncRNA (ENSFDAG00000022389.1)". Lineage: Eukaryota; Metazoa; Chordata; Mammalia; Rodentia; Bathyergidae. The record is from RNAcentral.
AACGAUGAGCCAGCAGAGGGCAGGAGAGCUCAGUUUAACAGCAGCGCGGAGCUCUGGCUGGUUGAAGGAGCUCGCUAGCCCAGCGGUGAGAGCAGUCCUAGGUGCCCGUGUGUUUCUACACGUCACCUCGGCAGAUCAUCACCUCACAUGGGCCAGCCAGGCAUCUCUGAGUCAGAGGUGA